Molecule: small nuclear RNA, 113 nt
Organism: Hemicordylus capensis (graceful crag lizard)
Lineage: Eukaryota; Metazoa; Chordata; Lepidosauria; Squamata; Cordylidae
Product: U5 spliceosomal RNA
Exons: 1
Source: RefSeq, a predicted model, not a curated record
UUACUCUGGUUUCUCUUCAGAUCGUAUAAAUCUUUCGCCUUUUACUAAAGAUUUCCGUGGAGAGGAACAUUUAUUUUAUAGUACAGUAAUGGCAUGAACAUAUAACUGUCACA